GAGUUUGAUCCUGGCUCAGGAUGAACGCUGGCGGUCUGCUUAACACAUGCAAGUCGAACGGAGUAGAAAUACUUAGUGGCGGACGGGUGAGUAACGCGUGAGAAUCUGCCUUCAGGACGGAGACAACAGUUGGAAACGACUGCUAAGCCCCGAUGAACCGAAAGGGAAAAUAUUUAUAGCCUGAAGAUGAGCUCGCGUCCGAUUAGCUAGUUGGCGGAGUAAUAGCCCACCGGGGGGACUAUCGGCCCGACCGUCGGAGAGGACGAUCAGCCACACUGGGACUGAGACAGGGCCCAUGCUCCUACGGCAGGCAUCAGUGGGGAAGUUUCCGCAAUGGGGGUUAGCUUGACGGACUGAGAGAA
This 362-nucleotide ribosomal RNA is filed under the name uncultured bacterium. RNAcentral describes it as "bacterial SSU rRNA". It matches the Rfam family "Bacterial small subunit ribosomal RNA", at positions 9 to 397 of the family's 1533-position model. The record is from RNAcentral.